RNAcentral lists this ribosomal RNA (371 nucleotides) under uncultured bacterium. Its description in RNAcentral is "bacterial SSU rRNA". It matches the Rfam family "Bacterial small subunit ribosomal RNA", at positions 527 to 896 of the family's 1533-position model. The record is from RNAcentral.
GUASGGUGCGAGCGUUAAUCGGAAUUACUGGGCGUAAAGCGUGCGCAGGCGGUUUUGUAAGUCAGAUGUGAAAUCCCCGGGCUCAACCUGGGAACUGCGUUUGAAACUACAAGGCUAGAGUGUAGCAGAGGGGGGUAGAAUUCCACGUGUAGCAGUGAAAUGCGUAGAGAUGUGGAGGAAUACCAAUGGCGAAGGCAGCCCCCUGGGUUAACACUGACGCUCAUGCACGAAAGCGUGGGGAGCAAACAGGAUUAGAUACCCUGGUAGUCCACGCCCUAAACGAUGUCUACUAGUUGUUGGGAGAGUAAAAUCUCUUAGUAACGCAGCUAACGCGUGAAGUAGACCGCCUGGGGAGUACGGUCGCAAGAUUA